This 769-nucleotide ribosomal RNA is filed under the name uncultured bacterium. RNAcentral's name for it is "bacterial SSU rRNA". It matches the Rfam family "Bacterial small subunit ribosomal RNA", at positions 8 to 796 of the family's 1533-position model. The record is from RNAcentral.
AGAGUUUGAUCAUGGCUCAGGAUAAACGCUGGCGGCGUGCAUGAGACAUGCAAGUCGAACGGACGAUCGAGGCUUGCUUCGAUCGUUAGUGGCGGACGGCUGAGUAACGCGUAGGUGACCUGCCCCGAAGUGGGGAAUAACUGCCCGAAAGGGUGGCUAAUACCGCAUGUGGUGGUGUGUUCAUUCACACCAGUAAAGCCGCAAGGCGCUUCGGGAGGGGCCUGCGUCCGAUUAGCUCGUUGGUGGGGUAACGGCUCACCAAGGCGACGAUCGGUAGGUGGUCUGAGAGGACGAUCACCCAGACUGGGACUGAGACACGGCCCAGACUCCUACGGGAGGCAGCAGUCGGGAAUUUUGCGCAAUGGACGAAAGUCUGACGCAGCAACGCCGCGUGAGGGAUGAAGGCCUUCGGGUUGUAAACCUCUUUUAUCAGGGAAGAUAAUGACGGUACCUGAUGAAUAAGUCACGGCUAACUACGUGCCAGCAGCCGCGGUAAUACGUAGGUGACAAGCGUUGUCCGGAUUUACUGGGCGUAAAGAGCGCGCAGGCGGUCGUUCAAGUCGAGUGUGAAAGCCCCCGGCUCAACUGGGGAGGGUCAUUCGAUACUGAUCGACUCGAAGGCAGGAGAGGGUAGUGGAAUUCCCGGUGUAGUGGUGAAAUGCGUAGAUAUCGGGAGGAACACCAGUGGCGAAGGCGACUACCUGGCCUGUUCUUGACGCUGAGGCGCGAAAGCUAGGGGAGCAAACGGGAUUAGAUACCCUAGUAGUCC